UCUCCGUUGGUGAACCAGCGGAGGGAUCAUUACCGAGUUUACAACUCCCAAACCCAAUGUGAACCAUACCAAACUGUUGCCUCGGCGGGGUCACGCCCCGGGUGCGUCGCAGCCCCGGAACCAGGCGCCCGUCGGAGGGACCAACCAAACUCUUUCUGUAGUCCCCUCGCGGACGUUAUUUUUACAGCUCUGAGCAAAAAUUCAAAAUGAAUCAAAACUUUCAACAACGGAUCUCUUGGUUCUG
Molecule: unclassified non-coding RNA, 244 nt
Filed under: plant metagenome
Description: partial contains small subunit ribosomal RNA, internal transcribed spacer 1, and 5.8S ribosomal RNA
Source: RNAcentral